Molecule: ribosomal RNA, 465 nt
Filed under: uncultured bacterium
Lineage: Bacteria
Description: partial 16S ribosomal RNA
Rfam family: Bacterial small subunit ribosomal RNA
Source: RNAcentral
GACGAACGCUGGCGGCGUGCUUAACACAUGCAAGUCGAACGAAAAGGCCCUGCUUGCAGGGUACUCGAGUGGCGAACGGGUGAGUAACACGUGGGUGAUCUGCCCUGCACUUCGGGAUAAGCCUGGGAAACUGGGUCUAAUACCGGAUAGGAGCCAUUUUUAGUGUGAUGGUUGGAAAGUUUUUUCGGUGUUGGAUGAGCUUGCGGCCUAUCAGCUUGUUGGGGGGGUAAUGGCCUACUAAGGCGGCGGCGGGUAGCCGGCCUGAGAGGGUGGACGGCCACACUGAGACUGAGGUACGGCCCAGACUCCUACGGGAGGCAGCAGUGGGGAAUAUUGCACAAUGGGCGCCAGCCUGAUGCAGCGACGCCGCGUGGGGGAUGACGGCCUUCGGGUUGUAAACUCCUUUCGCUAGGGACGAAGCUUUUUGUGACGGUACCUAGAGAAGAAGCACCGGCUAACUACGUG